UGUUCCACAUGAUCGCAUGUGAUUGUGGGAAAGGCUUUUUGCGGCAUGGAAUGGGGUCCCGUCCUAUCACCUUGUUGGUGGGGUGAUGGCCUACCAAGGCUUUAACGGGUACCCGGCCUAAAAGGGCAACCGGCCACUUUGGAACUAAAAUACGGCCCAAACUCCUACGGAAGGCACCAUUGGGGAAUAUUGCACAAGGGGCCCAACCCUGAUGCACCACCCCCCCUUGCGGAAUGAAGGCCUUCGGGUCUUAAACCGCUUUUGUUCACGACCAAGGCAUCCUUUCGGCGGUGUUAAUUGAAUUGUUCAAAUAACCGCCGGUAAAUUACUUGCCACCACCCCCGGUAUUACGUAGGGUGCAACCUUUAUCCGAAUUUAUUGGCCGUAAAGGGCUCUUAGGCGGUUCUUCCCGUCUGGUGUGAAAUCCCUUCGCUUAACGGUGAGUCUGCGCCGGGUACGGCGCGGGCUGGAGUGCGGUAGGGGAGACUGGAAUUCCCGGUGUAACGGUGGAAUGUGUAGAUAUCGGGAAGAACACCAAUGGCGAAGGCAGGUCUCUGGGCCGUCACUGACGCUGAGGAGCGAAAGCGUGGGGAGCGAACAGGAUUAGAUACCCUGGUAGUCCACGCCGUAAACGGUGGAUGCUGGAUGUGGGGUCCUUUCUACGGGUCCCGUGUCGGAGCCAACGCGUUAAGCAUCCCGCCUGGGGAGUACGGCCGCAAGGCUAAAACUCAAAGAAAUUGACGGGGGCCCGCACAAGCGGCGGAGCAUGCGGAUUAAUUCGAUGCAACGCGAAGAACCUUACCUGGGCUUGACAUGUGCCGGAUGCCCGUGGAAACGCGGUUUCCCUUCGGGGCCGGUUCACAGGUGGUGCAUGGUCGUCGUCAGCUCGUGUCGUGAGAUGUUGGGUUAAGUCCCGCAACGAGCGCAACCCUCGCCGCAUGUUGCCAGCGGGUGAUGCUGGGAACUCAUGUGGGACCGCCGGGGUUAACUCGGAGGAAGGUGGGGAUGACGUCAGAUCAUCAUGCCCCUUACGUCCAGGGCUUCACGCAUGCUACAAUGGCCGGUACAACGCGAUGCGACACGGUGAGGUGGGGCGGAUCGCUGAAAACCGGUCUCAGUUCGGAUCGCAGUCUGCAACUCGACUGCGUGAAGGCGGAGUCGCUAGUAAUCGCAGAUCAGCAACGC
RNAcentral lists this ribosomal RNA (1185 nucleotides) under uncultured Bifidobacterium sp. RNAcentral describes it as "bacterial SSU rRNA". It matches the Rfam family "Bacterial small subunit ribosomal RNA", at positions 173 to 1357 of the family's 1533-position model. Lineage: Bacteria; Bacillati; Actinomycetota; Actinomycetes; Bifidobacteriales; Bifidobacteriaceae. The record is from RNAcentral.